Molecule: RNA transcript, 5403 nt
Organism: Microcebus murinus (gray mouse lemur)
Lineage: Eukaryota; Metazoa; Chordata; Mammalia; Primates; Cheirogaleidae
Gene: ZBTB47
Gene name: zinc finger and BTB domain containing 47
Source: RefSeq, a predicted model, not a curated record
GCGCGGGGGCGGCCCCCAGCGCGGCGCUUCAUGGAGCGGCCCCGGCCCGGCCGCCGGGGGCAGCGCGAUCCCGCGGGGCCCUGUGAGCCCCCAGCGCCACGGCACCAUGUUGCUGGUUGAGAAGACAACUGACUCACCGGCGGCGGAGUUCUCGCUGGUGGAGGACGUGGCGCUGCACUUCGCCUGCUUGAUGGGCCGCCUGAACGAGCAGCGCCUCUUCCAGCCCGACCUCUGCGACGUGGACCUGGUGCUGGUGCCCCAGCACAGCGUCUUCCCGGCACACAAGGGCGUGCUCGCCGCCUACAGCCAGUUCUUCCACUCGCUCUUCACCCAGAACAAGCAGCUGCAGCGUGUGGAGCUGUCCCUGGAGGCGCUGGCGCCUGGUGGCCUGCAGCAGAUCCUCAACUUCAUCUACACGUCCAAGCUGCUGGUCAACGCAGCCAACGUCCACGAGGUGCUCAGCGCCGCCUCGCUGCUGCAGAUGGCCGACAUCGCCGCGUCCUGCCAGGAACUGCUGGACGCCCGCUCCCUAGGCCCACCGGGUCCUGGCACUGUGGCCCUGGCCCAGCCGGCUGCCAGCUGCACCCCAGCUGCGCCACCCUACUACUGUGACAUCAAGCAGGAGGCGGACACGCCGGGCCUGCCCAAGAUCUAUGCCCGCGAGGGCCCUGACCCCUACUCGGUGCGCGUUGAGGACGGGGCAGGGAACGCUGGUGGCACAGUGCCUGCCACCAUUGGGCCAGCCCAGCCCUUCUUCAAGGAGGAGAAGGAGGGUGGCGUGCAGGAGGCUGGCGGGCCCCCGGCCAGCUUGUGCAAGCUGGAAGGUGGGGAGGAGCUGGAGGAAGAGCUUGGGGGUUCUGGCACCUACAGCCGCCAGGAGCAGUCCCAGAUCAUUGUGGAGGUGAACCUCAACAACCAGACACUGCACGUGUCCACGGGGCCCGAGGGGAAGCCAGGCCCUGCGACCAGCCCGGCCACCAUGGUGCUGGGCCGGGAGGAUGGGCUUCAGAGACACUCGGAGGAGGAGGAGGAAGAGGACGAGGAAGAAGAGGGUGGUGGCAGUGGAGGAGAGGAGGAGGAGGAGGAAGAGGGUGGCAGUCAGGGAGAAGAGGAAGAGGAGGAGGAGGAAGGGCACAGUGAGCAGGAGGAGGAGGAAGAAGAGGAGGAGGAGGAGGAGGAGGAAGGGCCCAGUGAGCAAGAUCAAGAGAGCUCUGAGGAGGAGGAAGGGGAGGAGGGGGAAGCCGGGGGCAUGCAGGGGCCACCAGGGCGCCGGGGCAGCCGGGCUGACCCCCCUCCCCACAGUCGCAUGGCCACGCGGUCCCGGGAGAAUGCCCGGCGCCAGGGCAACUCUGAGCCUGAGGAGGCUGGGCAGCGGAGUGGGAAGCGACCCAAGCUGUCCCCCAGAGUGGCCUCUGCACCAGCCCGAGGGCCUCCAGCCUCUGACGGGCUGGGGGCCAAGGUGAAGCUGGAGGAGAAGCAGCACCACCCAUGCCAGAAGUGCCCACGAGUUUUCAACAACCGCUGGUACCUGGAGAAGCACAUGAAUGUGACCCACAGCCGCAUGCAGAUCUGCGACCAGUGCGGCAAGCGCUUCCUGCUAGAGAGUGAGCUGCUGCUGCACCGGCAGACGGACUGCGAGCGCAACAUCCAGUGUGUGACGUGUGGCAAAGCUUUCAAGAAGCUCUGGUCCCUCCAUGAGCACAAUAAGAUUGUGCAUGGUUACGCAGAGAAGAAGUUCUCAUGUGAGAUCUGUGAGAAGAAGUUCUAUACCAUGGCCCAUGUGCGAAAGCACAUGGUUGGGCUUCAGGCUUCUCUGAAUGCAACUUCCCCCCAGGGGUCACGCCUGGACACACCCACACCAAGGACAUGCCCUUCACCUGUGAAACCUGCGGGAAGUCCUUCAAGCGCAGCAUGUCCCUCAAGGUGCACUCACUGCAGCACUCCGGGGAGAAGCCGUUCAGAUGUGAGAACUGCAACGAGCGCUUCCAGUACAAGUACCAGCUGCGGUCACACAUGAGCAUCCACAUUGGCCACAAGCAGUUCAUGUGCCAGUGGUGCGGCAAGGACUUCAACAUGAAGCAGUACUUCGACGAGCACAUGAAGACCCACACAGGGGAGAAGCCGUACAUCUGCGAGAUCUGCGGCAAGAGCUUCACCAGCCGGCCCAACAUGAAGCGGCACCGGCGCACGCACACCGGCGAGAAGCCGUACCCGUGCGACGUGUGCGGCCAGCGCUUCCGCUUCUCCAACAUGCUCAAGGCCCACAAGGAGAAGUGCUUCCGCGUCAGCCACCCGCUGGCCAGCGACGGCCCGCCCCCCGCCCCAGGCCUGCCCCCCGCCCAGCCUCAGGCGCACACGCUGCCCCUGCUCCCGGGGCUGCCCCAGACCCUGCCGCCCCCGCCGCACCUGCCGCCCCCGCCGCCCCUCUUCCCCACCACUGCCAGCACUGGCGGGAGGAUGAACGCCACCAACUAGCUGCCGAGCUACACCUGCUGGGACCUGGAGCCCAGGGCCCGCUCCAGGAGAGACCCCACUGCCCUCCCCCCUGGCUGGGGAGGGCAGCAGCACGCGCCUGGGCCACUGCCCCCACCUCCAGAGGUGGCUGGACGUGGCCUCCUGAGACCCCGACACGGGGUGGGAGUGCGGGCUGGCAGCCCCCAGAGCCGGUGGAAGACACCUCACUCCCAAGUGCCCCCCUCUUUCUGCAACUUCUUGAAGCCUUUACUUUUUGGGUUUUUUUGGAAGUGAAGGAGAAAGAAAAGAGAGGAAACUAUUUGCAGCACCCCCUCCAGGUGAGGAGGGUGCUGGAGGCGGCAGGUACAGCGGGGAUGGAGGGCCCCAGGGGCAGGAGUCGUGGCCAGUGCUGCUGAGGCCUGAGCCGGAGAGGGUUGGCCAGGCCCUUCCUGGAUAGGCCUCAGCGGUUUGUCCCCACGUGCUCAUGCCCCUAAUUGGCUCCCUCAUCUUGGAGGGUUUGGGGAGAAGUGGGGUGCCGCCCCCUAGAAGAGUUGUGGACCCAGUCUGAGGGCUGUGGACGCCCAGCCAGGGCGCGAGGCUGGACGCCGGCGGGCGCGGGUGGGGAGUGUUGAGGAGCCGGGACUGCAGACCUGCCUCUGCGCUGCCGAGUAGUGUGGGGAAGGCAGGGGCUGGACCCCAGGGGCUUGCUUUCCCCACUCACAUCCCCGCCGGCAGGUCCGGGGGUCCCCAACCUGCACCGGGCUGCACCGUGGGUCUCGAGUCCUAGAGAUGUCCCCGGAGGCUGCUAGGCCUUGGUGCUGUGGGCCAGGCCCUAGGUGGGCAGACGGGAUGCCUCCUUCAGCACCAGCUCCCAGGGGCUGGAGUCAAGGAACCCCUGCAAGCAGGUCAGACCCCAGGGGCAGGGUCCGAGGAGGAGGCUUGGACAAGGGUUUGGGGGAUUCAAGGUGCUACCAGUGGGGCAGGGGGCAGGGCUGCCGCUCACAGAGCACCUCCGCCCCUCACCAGCCACGCUGGCCACGUAUUUCACACCAGAAGGAGACGUGUGUGUCUGUGUCCCCCUCUGCUCCCCUCGGCCCGCACUAGGCCCAGCCACAGCCUGUGCCUGGCUGGCUCCAGCGUCCUGGCUCCUCCUGGGCCUCUGCACAGGUGGGCGGGCGCUCACAGCACUGCUGGUGAGGGGAGCCCCUGGGGACAGGGGAGCCCAGCCUGUGCCCGGUCCUUGCCCUCAUGAGGCCGGCACUAAUAGGAGACCCUUUUAUUUGUUGUCAUUUAACGUCUUCAUUCCUGCCUUUAAGACGGGGCGGAAGGUUCCAUAAGCUACAUGUUUCCUAGUUAAGCUCUCUCCUCUUGUGUUUAUACAGUUUUGUUUGUUAUACUCUUUGCACCUUAAACUCCCACUACUCCCCCACGCUACCACCUUCCCAGCAUGGCCGGGGUGGGAAGAGGCCUGGGCCCAAGGGGCAUGGUUAGGGGCACUGAACCCUUCUGACCUCCUUCUGAGGCCCACGGCGCUGGGGCAGGGGGCUGGGGACAUUUUAAUCAUCAAUAAAUGAAGCACUUUAUUCUGUACAGAUGUGAGCAGGCCCAAGGUGCCCGAGUGAUGUGAGGUUUUAUGAUCCAAGCCGCACCACCCUGGUCGUUCUCUGGGCUUGGAGGGGACAGUGCCAGCAGCUUCCCUGGCCCGGUUGGGUCUGGGGCUGCAGCUGGAGCAGUUCAGCCAGCGCCCACAGACAUGCCCUUGGGCACCCCUGCUUCUCCCCAGCAGGAACGUGUGGCGCCAGGCUCUGCAGUUCCCCUACCCCCAGGGCAGGGUUUCCAGGCUCCUGCUUCACUGUAGCUCUUUUCCUUCCCCGCACCCCUGAUCUCUGGGCUUCCAUGAUGUCCUCAGGGUCCCUCCUCUUUCCCCCUUGCUAUUUCUAACCUCUGGUCCCAGUGCCUGGCAGCUCUUCAGAGCUGGCUCACAUUUUCCCAAAAAAGUUGAUCUCGCCCAGUGGGCUGCAGACAGGGACCUCCAUGGGUUCUCCAGCCCUCGUCACUAGCACCAGGGUCUCCCAUAGAGCCUGGUGGCCUUGCUUCAUGCUGGCCCCACUGCAACCUGAGUGGGCCUGGGGCCCUGGCCAGGCUGGGACCCUGGUCUUGCAGGCCAUGGUUUGGCAAGCAGAGGUCAAAGACAGGUGUGGGGAGCUGGUAUGAAACCCUGGCCCAGGACUUGGGUUUCCUGUUCUCACACACCUCCCCUCAGGGCAGGCGAGGGGUGUGGACAGCUGGCUGGGAACUGGUCAAGAUGGACAUUGUAGCUGUAGGUGGGCACGGCCAACCUCUCUCUUGGGAGGCCCUGUCCCUCUGAGGACAGGAGCCUGUGUCCCUGGUGCUAAACACUCUCUUCCCCUUGGGCCAGUGUUGGUGGGAGCACCUUUCCAGCCAGCCCACGAGGCCAGAAGCAAUAAUGGCACCUUAGCGGUGCCAGUACGGACAGGGGUUCUUGUUUUACCAGCUUUUACAUCUCCUUUUUAUUUGAAAAACAAAUUGAUGAGCACCCAGAUGUUGGAGUGAGAGGAUGGGGGGCCCCAGGCUCAGGAUCAUCACCUCCUGGGAGACCUGUUGAAGUCCCUGUGUCCAGCUGAGCUGCUCAGUCUGCUUGGCCAGCACUCAGUCCUGGAGCCUGGGCCUGCCCCUCCGCAGCUCCCUGCUGUCUGGUCUUGGCCGGCUGGGAUGAGUGGCCAGAGUGAUGAGGUGGCCCCCCAGCCCUGGAUCAUGCUGCCAUGGCCUCCACGGUGCCCCUCACCAGGGGCUCGAUGGUGGCAGAAUGGCUGCACCCAGACUGUGAUGUCUAGUCAUGUAUGGGCACCCCACAGCCCCAGAGCUUGUGGGGCACAGCAGGCAUGUGGGUGAGAAGAGUGAAGGGAAAUAAAGUCAGUACAACUCCUG